GCGGGGGUAACCAAGCCAGGCCAACGGUGAUAGACUCAAGAUCUAUUCUCGCAGGAGUUCAGGGGUUCGAAUCCCUUCCCCCGCACCA
Molecule: transfer RNA, 88 nt
Filed under: Methanotrichaceae archaeon
Lineage: Archaea; Methanobacteriati; Methanobacteriota; Methanomicrobia; Methanotrichales; Methanotrichaceae
Description: tRNA-Leu
Rfam family: tRNA
About the family: Transfer RNA (tRNA) molecules are approximately 80 nucleotides in length. Their secondary structure includes four short double-helical elements and three loops (D, anti-codon, and T loops).
Source: RNAcentral